AACGAACGCUGGCGGCAGGCCUAACACAUGCAAGUCGAACGUGAAGCUGGAGCUUGCUCCAGUGGAAAGUGGCAGACGGGUGAGUAACACGUGGGAAUCUACCCAGUGGUACGGAAUAACUCAAGGAAACCUGAGCUAAUACCGUAUACGCCCUCCGGGGGAAAGAUUUAUCGCCAUUGGAUGAGCCCGCGUCGGAUUAGCUUGUUGGUGAGGUAACGGCUCACCAAGGCGACGAUCCGUAGCUGGUCUGAGAGGAUGAUCAGCCACACUGGGACUGAGACACGGCCCAGACUCCUACGGGAGGCAGCAGUGGGGAAUAUUGGACAAUGGGCGCAAGCCUGAUCCAGCCAUGCCGCGUGAGUGACGAAGGCCUUAGGGUUGUAAAGCUCUUUCGGCGGGGAAGAUAAUGACGGUACCCGCAGAAGAAGCCCCGGCUAACUUCGUG
This 445-nucleotide ribosomal RNA is filed under the name uncultured bacterium. Its description in RNAcentral is "bacterial SSU rRNA". It matches the Rfam family "Bacterial small subunit ribosomal RNA", at positions 29 to 507 of the family's 1533-position model. The record is from RNAcentral.